CCUACGGGAGGCAGCAGUGAGGAAUAUUGGACAAUGGGCGCAAGCCUGAUCCAGCCAUGCCGCGUGCAGGAAGACGCAUCUAUGGUGUGUAAACUGCUUUUGUACGGGAAGAAACACUCCCUCGUGAGGGAGCUUGACGGUACCGUAAGAAUAAGGAUCGGCUAACUCCGUGCCAGCAGCCGCGGUAAUACGGAGGAUCCAAGCGUUAUCCGGAAUCAUUGGGUUUAAAGGGUCCGUAGGCGGUUUAAUAAGUCAGUGGUGAAAGCCCAUCGCUCAACGAUGGAACGGCCAUUGAUACUGUUAGACUUGAAUUACUAGGAAGUAACUAGAAUAUGUAGUGUAGCGGUGAAAUGCUUAGAUAUUACAUGGAAUACCAAUUGCGAAGGCAGGUUACUACUAGUGGAUUGACGCUGAUGGACGAAAGCGUGGGGAGCGAACAGGAUUAGAUACCCCUGGUAGUCCACGCCGUAACGAUAGAUACUAGCUGUUGGGUCGGCGAGUUACGUAGUGGUCGUAGACGAAGUAGAGUAAGUA
Molecule: ribosomal RNA, 534 nt
Filed under: uncultured bacterium
Lineage: Bacteria
Description: bacterial SSU rRNA
Rfam family: Bacterial small subunit ribosomal RNA
Source: RNAcentral